CCUGACGGAGCAAGACCGCGUGAGGGAGGAAGGCUCUUGGGUUGUAAACCUCUUUUAUCAGGGAAGAAGAUCUGACGGUACCUGAUGAAUCAGCAUCGGCUAACUCCGUGCCAGCAGCCGCGGUAAUACGGAGGAUGCAAGCGUUAUCCGGAUUUAUUGGGCGUAAAGCGUCCGCAGGUGGUUUUUCAAGUCUGCUGUUAAAGCGCGAGGCUUAACCUCGUAACGGCGGUGGAAACUGAGAGACUUGAGUAUGGUAGGGGUAGCGGGAAUUCCCAGUGUAGCGGUGAAAUGCGUAGAUAUUGGGAAGAACACCAGCGGCGAAAGCGCGCUACUGGGCCAUAACUGACACUCAUGGACGAAAGCUAGGGGAGCGAAAGGGAUUAGAUACCCCUGUAGUCCUAGCUGUAAACGAUGGGUACUAGGUGUUGACCGUAUCGACCCGGUCAGUGCCGUAGCUAACGCGUUAAGUACCCCGCCUGGGGAGUAUGCACGCAAGUGUGAAACUCAAAGGAAUUGACGGGGGCCCGCACAAGCGGUGGAGUAUGUGGUUUAAUUCGAUGCAACGCGAAGAACCUUACCAGGGCUUGACAUGUCGCGAAUCCCGGUGAAAGUCGGGAGUGCCUUCGGGAGCGCGAACACAGGUGGUGCAUGGCUGUCGUCAGCUCGUGUCGUGAGAUGUUGGGUUAAGUCCCGCAACGAGCGCAACCCUCGUUUUUAGUUGCCAUCAUUAAGUUGGGCACUCUAGAGAGACUGCCGGUGACAAACCGGAGGAAGGUGGGGAUGACGUCAAGUCAGCAUGCCCCUUACGUCCUGGGCUACACACGUACUACAAUGCUUCGGACAAAGGGUUGCGAGCUAGCGAUAGCAAGCUAAUCCCGUAAACCGAGGCUCAGUUCAGAUUGCAGGCUGCAACUCGCCUGCAUGAAGGAGGAAUCGCUAGUAAUCGCAGGUCAGCAUACUGCGGUGAAAUCGUUCCCGGGCCUUGUACACACCGCCCGUCACACCAUGGGAGUUGGCCACGCCCGAAGUCGUUACUCCAACCGCUUGCGGA
This 1051-nucleotide ribosomal RNA is filed under the name Stenomitos frigidus ANT.L52.3. RNAcentral's name for it is "bacterial SSU rRNA". It matches the Rfam family "Bacterial small subunit ribosomal RNA", at positions 382 to 1447 of the family's 1533-position model. The record is from RNAcentral. Lineage: Bacteria; Bacillati; Cyanobacteriota; Cyanophyceae; Leptolyngbyales; Leptolyngbyaceae.